RNAcentral lists this ribosomal RNA (435 nucleotides) under uncultured bacterium. RNAcentral's name for it is "partial 16S ribosomal RNA". It matches the Rfam family "Bacterial small subunit ribosomal RNA", at positions 29 to 507 of the family's 1533-position model. The record is from RNAcentral.
AGCGAACGCUGGCGGCAGGCUUAACACAUGCCAGUCGAGCGGGCACUUUCGGGUGUCAGCGGCGGACGGGUGAGUAACGCGUGGGAACGUGCCCUCUGGUUCGGAAUAACUCAGGGAAACUUGAGCUAAUACCGGAUACGCCCUUUUGGGGAAAGGCUUGCUGCCGGAGGAUCGGCCCGCGUCUGAUUAGCUAGUUGGUGAGGUAACGGCACACCAAGGCGACGAUCAGUAGCUGGUCUGAGAGGAUGAUCAGCCACACUGGGACUGACACACGGCCCAGACUCCUACGGGAGGCAGCAGUGGGGAAUAUUGGACAAUGGGCGCAAGCCUGAUCCAGCCAUGCCGCGUGAGUGAUGAAGGCCUUAGGGUUGUAAAGCUCUUUUAUCCGGGACGAUAAUGACGGUACCGGAGGAAUAAGCCCCGGCUAACUUCGUG